UGGUACCACCUGACCCCAUGCCGAACUCAGAAGUGAAACGCCGUAGCGCCGAUGGUAGUGUGGGGUCUCCCCAUGCGAGAGUAGGGAACUGCCAGGC
This 97-nucleotide ribosomal RNA is filed under the name Salmonella enterica subsp. enterica serovar Derby. Lineage: Bacteria; Pseudomonadati; Pseudomonadota; Gammaproteobacteria; Enterobacterales; Enterobacteriaceae. The record is from RNAcentral.